CAGUGCUUAUUAAGUACUCUGUUUCACAUGCUAAUUAUUAACUUGGGUUAUCUUCAUAAUGACUUAAAAAGAAGAUUUUAUUAGCUUCAUUUUACAGAUGAAGAAAAUGAGGAACAGAGUGGCUGAUAACUUGUCAAUCAUCACACACCGGUAAAAACUGUUAGACAUGAACCCCAACAAGGUGAUUAUAGAGCCUCGUGAAUGCUCAAUGCCUAUGAAGAUUUUGUUAAAUAAGAGAAUGACUGGAGGUUAAAAAUAGAGGCAAUGAUCUGAGUGACAGAAUAAUUUGUAGGUGACAAUCUUCAGAAGAAAUCCUUCCAAACCAGUGAACUCAAUAUAGAAUAGAAUGGGAGCCAAAUUUCAUGUUUAACAAAAGAGGGUAAGAAAUUUUAAAACUUUUAUUCUAAACAUAUUAUUAAUCUUUAAAGUUGAACAGGGUAAGAAUUAUUACACACAGACACAUCUCUCUCUCUACAUGUAUACCUUCAAUUAUACCUUCAACUUUUUAGCCACAAUAUAAAUACCUACUUUAAGGUUUUUUUGUACCAGGGAUCGAACUUUGGUCUUUGCACUUGCAAGGCACACGACGGAACCACUGAGCUAAAUCCCCGCCCCUGUUUUAAAUUCUUAUUAAAGUAAAACCUAAACAAAUGUAAUUCAUCUUCCAUCUUUUUUUUUUUUUUUGGUACUGGGGAUUGAACUUGGGACCUUGUGCUUCCGAGGCAGGCAGCAGAACCGCUAAGCUAAAUCCCCAGACCCCCAUCUUCUAUCUUAACAAAACUAUAUUCACUUUACCAAAAGAAUUACUCAUGUCCAGACAAAAAGUCACCAGGUCAGAAAAUUACACACUUUUGGGGCU
Non-coding RNA from Heterocephalus glaber (naked mole-rat), 859 nucleotides. Lineage: Eukaryota; Metazoa; Chordata; Mammalia; Rodentia; Bathyergidae. The record is from RefSeq and is a predicted model, not a curated record.